UGGAGUUUAGCUCUUACCCUUUGUGACAUACCUAUAACUGUNGCUNCGGCGGGNAGGGUCUCCUUGACCCUCCCGGCCUCCCGCCCCCGGGCGGGUCGGUCCCGCCGGACCUAACGAAACUCUGAUUUAACUACAUUUCUUCUGAGUGGUACAGACAAAUAAUCAAAACUUUUAACAACNGAUCUCUAGGUUCUGGCAUCGGUGAAGAACACAACGAAAUGCGAUAAGUAAUGUGAAUUGCAAUUGUCAAUGAAUCAUCAAAUCUUUGAACGCACAUUGCGCCCGCCACCAUUCUGGCGGGCAUGCCUGUUCGAGCGUCAUUUCAACCCUCACCCUCUGCUUGGUGUUGGGGCCCUACCUCUGAUGUAGGCCCUCGNACGUAGUGGCGGACCCUCACGGAGCCUCAUUUGCCUAUUAACUUUACCUCUCCCACUGGGAUCCGGAGGGACUCUGGCUCUAAAACCCCCACCUUUCCUUAGGUUGACGUCGAAUCAGGUACGAGUACCCNCUCAACUUAAACUUAUCCUAGCCGUAGGAAAGAGGAAACAGC
This 550-nucleotide ribosomal RNA is filed under the name Colletotrichum gloeosporioides. RNAcentral describes it as "eukaryotic LSU rRNA". The stretch from base 167 to 320 matches the Rfam family "5.8S ribosomal RNA". The record is from RNAcentral. Lineage: Eukaryota; Fungi; Ascomycota; Sordariomycetes; Glomerellales; Glomerellaceae.